ACGGGAGGCAGCAGUGGGGAAUAUUGGACAAUGGGGGGAACCCUGAUCCAGCGACGCCGCGUGAGUGAAGAAGUAUUUCGGUAUGUAAAGCUCUUUAAGCAGGAAAGAAAAUGACGGUACCUGCAGAAUAAGCCCCGGCUAACUACGUGCCAGCAGCCGCGGUAAUACGUAGGGGGCAAGCGUUAUCCGGAUUUACUGGGUGUAAAGGGAGCGUAGACGGAAUAGCAAGUUUGAAGUGAAAACCCUGGGCUUAACCCAGGACUUGCUUUGAAAACUGUUGUUCUAGAGUACUGGAGGGGUAUGGGGAAUUCCUAGUGUAGUAGUAAAAUGCGUAGAGAUUAGGAAGAACACCGGAGGCGAAGGCGCCAUACUGGACAGAUACUGACGUUGAGGCUCGAAAGCGUGGGGAGCAAACAGGAUUAGAUACCCUGGUA
RNAcentral lists this ribosomal RNA (434 nucleotides) under uncultured Lachnospiraceae bacterium. Its description in RNAcentral is "partial 16S ribosomal RNA". It matches the Rfam family "Bacterial small subunit ribosomal RNA", at positions 341 to 792 of the family's 1533-position model. Lineage: Bacteria; Bacillati; Bacillota; Clostridia; Lachnospirales; Lachnospiraceae. The record is from RNAcentral.